Molecule: transfer RNA, 91 nt
Filed under: Morchella angusticeps
Lineage: Eukaryota; Fungi; Ascomycota; Pezizomycetes; Pezizales; Morchellaceae
Also listed under: 9 other names
Description: tRNA-Phe
Rfam family: tRNA
About the family: Transfer RNA (tRNA) molecules are approximately 80 nucleotides in length. Their secondary structure includes four short double-helical elements and three loops (D, anti-codon, and T loops).
Source: RNAcentral
GCGAUAAUAGCUCAGUUGGGAGAGCGCCAGACUGAAGUCUCUUAUCCGGGGUGCCAUCUGGAGGUCACCCGUUCAAUCCGGGUUUGUCGCA